RNA transcript from Ooceraea biroi (clonal raider ant), 3063 nucleotides. It is a transcript of the gene named gustatory receptor for sugar taste 64f, with no coding region annotated. Lineage: Eukaryota; Metazoa; Arthropoda; Insecta; Hymenoptera; Formicidae. The record is from RefSeq and is a predicted model, not a curated record.
UGUGCAAGCAAAGAUUAGACGCGGGAUAGAAACAAUAAGCGCAUAAGUUAUAAGGGCUUUCUCCGCGAGUGUGUGUCAGUGCAUAUCCGAACGCGGCAGGUGCGACAUUGUUCAUCGCGACAUCGUGGCUCGCGUUUCCACCGUUCCCACCUUCCCCGCGUGACUUCUUCGAGCGCUUUUCUCAAGUAUCACACUUUCCCAGGGGCUACAUUGUGUAUUACAUCGUUUCUCGCCUCACGAGACAAUUUGUUAAUUAAGAAAAAUUGACAAGGAUGUCUUUCGUUCUGCAUAAUUGGGGAACACCUGAGGACAUGUUCGCGGGAACGGCCUAACAGUCACGUUUCCAUGAAAAGAAUCGCGUCCAUGAGAACAGUCGCGUUUCCAUGAAAAUUAUAUGAUUUUCUUUUAGGAAUUUAUUAUUGUUGAUCCUUCUUAUUUUAUUUAUGAAAUCAAAUUUUUAUCAUCUAUGAUUUUAUAAUUUCCACCCCCCGAACGAUUUUUAAUCAACGUUUUACGACACGCCUGCGAUUCUCCAUGAUGAAAACAGGGAUUCAAAGAUUUAUGGAUUUUUUAAGAAGAUUGAGCGACCCGGGAGAUUUAAUUUCGCGGAGUGAAUUCUCGUUUCACUUCGAUUGAUUUAUCUCGCGCGAGCAUGGGUAAAAUUCUUGAUCAAUUUUCGCGAUUUAUCGUUCGCUUGUUUCCUCCUAUACUCGUUUCCACUGUACUUCCGGUUUGUUUCUCUCCGGCGAGAAGAUUCCCGCUAAUCUGUCAAGCGUUUCCGCCGCUUGUUUCGGACUUUUAAUUUAAUUAGAGCUCACUUCGCCCUCAAUUAGACUGCUACCGCGCGCACGUUCGUGCAACUUUGCAGAGAUACGCGUUGGCUUUAGGAGGAUGUCGGGAAACUUCGAUGAAAGCGUGCGAUGUCUGCCCUUAAGAAAAUUAUAACUUAAUCGAAAUGAAUGGGGAUAAAAGAGAUAUUACCUUCGAUAACGCCGAGAUGCCCUAUCCACGGUGGACCGCUAGGAAAUCUUGGCAGCCUGUCACUAUCAAUGUUCACGUGCACAUCGUCAGCCGCAGCGCGCCCCAUGCGAGAUCGCCCAAGAGCAGCCUGCGCAACGGCAGGCUCGACCCCAUGAAGAUUGACCUGGUGACGCCCGAGAUGCCGACGCCCGUCAUACCACCGUCGGAGACCUUCAACCCGUCCACCGAUAGUCUGCACGCAUCCAUGAAGCCCAUUAUCAUGCUGGCCCAAUGCUUUUCCAUGCUUCCCGUGUGUGGUAUCAACAAACCGGACGCUUCGUAUCUUCGGUUCACGUGGCGCAGCCUGAAGAUCCUGUACACGGCGGUUGUUUUUCUGGGGGUGUUCACCAUGACGGUCUACAACGUCAUACGGAUGUUUUACACAGGGAUCAACUCCACGAAAAUGACCACGUUUGUCUUCUACGUCACGUCCAUGGUGACUGCUAUCCUGUUUGUGCGUCUGGCGAUGCAGUGGCCCUGCUUGGCGCUAACUUGGGAGAAACUUGAACGCGAAUUCACUUCCAGACACCGACAAGUUUCCAAGACCACUCUUAGGACUCGCUUCAAAAUUGUGACUGCUGUUGUCAUGUUGCUCGCGUUGGUGGAGCAUGGUGCAUCUGUGCUCUCUGCGUACAUGAGCGCGAUAGAGUGUGCCGAAUUCCGCGGCGACAAGGAUGUCAUCGGGACUUAUUUCCAAUCGCAAUUUCCGCAGAUUUUCUCGAGUAUGUCCUACAGCCUUUGGAAAGGGAUCAUCGUCGACGUCAUAAAUAUCCUGAGCACAUUUUCGUGGAACUUCGUCGAUCUGUUUCUGAUUCUCAUCAGCAUAGCUUUGGCGGACCAGUUCAGGCAGAUGAAUAGUCGUCUCUUCGCGAUACGGGGAAAGGCGAUGCCGGAAUGGUGGUGGGCCGAGGCCAGGAGCGACUACAACCACUUGGCCACCCUGACGCGGAGGGUGGACUCCCAUAUCUCAGGCAUCGUGCUUCUGUCCUUCGCCACCAAUCUGUAUUUCAUCUGUAUCCAACUGCUGUUCUCCUUCAAUCCAAUACGCGGCGUCGUACGGAAGAUCUACUUCUGCUUCUCCUUCGGCUUCCUGCUGGCCAGGACUGCAGCCGUGUCAUUAUACGCGGCUUCCGUUCACGACGAAUCUCUCCUGCCAGCACCGAUUCUGUACAGCGUUUCCGGUUCCAGCUACAGUAACGAGGUCUCGAGGUUCUUGACGCAAGUAACGACGGAUAAUAUAAGCCUAACGGGGAUGAAGUUCUUCUCCGUGACGAGAAGCCUCGUACUAACCGUCGCCGGAACCAUCGUGACCUACGAAUUGGUUCUGGUGCAGUUCAACUCCGUCCAGCAGGUGGACCAAUCGAACAUUACGAACGCUUGCGAGGUGAGGUAGACAGCUUGCGAAAGAGCUUUUAAGGGAUCUUGACCGUCUGUAUCCGCUUCCGCUUCUGCACAUCACACGCGUCUUGAAGAGUGCCAUGCAAUAUAGCGUGUUUUAUGGCAUUUUUACUCAAGAUAAGUAUGCAAGUUAUGCUGCGAUAGUUUUCUAUACAUAAGUCUCUACGAUUCUUACUUUCCUCUCUGUAAGUCGCAAUGCAUCUCGCGUUAUCAAUUUGUCAAUUUUCCCUCCGUGAUUUUAUUCCCUCUAAUCCGUUUUUGUUGUAGUUCUUCCAAGUUUAUUAGACCAACGUACAUUCCGGGGGGAAGGAUGUUGCACCGGCGUUCAGUGAUAUUGUUGCAAAAUACUGUAAUAUCACACAUGUACCGCUCCUUUGUGCAUCUAGCUCCGGAAAAUGCAUCAUCCGCAAGAAUCAGUCAAACUCACGCAUUUCCCGAUAUAUCACAAUAAUGAAUCCCAUGAAAUUCAAUGUAGCAAAAAUGUAUGCGUUAUCAAUCAUUUUUAUCUGUUUAUGUGUUUGUGCGUACCUCUGUUUUUGUACGUGCCGUUUGUAAGCGAUAAGAAGCUGAUAUUUAAAUAUGAUAUAAAUGUGUUAUUUCAACAAUACCUUGGCCGAAAAUAAAAAUGAUUUUACUAACAUAAGA